UGCGUAGGCGGACUAUUAAGUCAGUGGUGAAAUCCUGCAGCUCAACUGUAGAACUGCCAUUGAUACUGAUAGUCUGGAGUUUGGUUAAGGUAGGCGGAAUGUGUAAUGUAGCGGUGAAAUGCUUAGAUAUUACACAGAACACCGAUUGCGUAGGCAGCUUACUGAGCCGACACUGACGCCGAGGCACGAAAGCGUGGGGAUCGAACAGGAUUAGAUACCCUGGUAGUCC
Molecule: ribosomal RNA, 229 nt
Filed under: uncultured bacterium
Lineage: Bacteria
Description: partial 16S ribosomal RNA
Rfam family: Bacterial small subunit ribosomal RNA
Source: RNAcentral